CACUGCCCUUUGUUUUGUAGAUCCCUCCGGGUUGCCAGGCGGACCAGAAGAUCCGUCUGCAGGGAAAGGGGAUCCAGAGGAUGAACAGCUAUAGUUAUGGAGAUCACUACGUUCACAUCAAGAUCAGAGUACCCAAGAAGUUAACCCGUAGACAGCGCUCCCUGCUCCUGAGCUAUGCAGAGGAAGAGACUGACGUGUUGGGGACUGUCAACGGAGUUACUGCUACUACCACAGGUGGGGGCAGGAGUGGUCAGCGCUCUGAGUCUGGGGCAGGACAGGACAGAACAGAGGGGCAGGAGAAGAAGAAAGAAGAGGAGGAGGGCAUCCUUUCCAAAAUAAAGAAAAUCUUUAUCUGACAGCCACACCUCAGGUAAGAGAUCAACAGGACCGUAAUGGGAGAAGGUAAGCUACUGGCCCUCUGUCCCUCUCACUACCCUCCCUCACCUACCGCCUGGAUAGAGGGAGAGAGAAAGAGGGAAUGGGGGUUUGGAUGUAUCGAAAGGACAUCCAUUUAGACACAGAAUGGGCCACCAAGAGAGCCAAGCCCAGCCACACACUGUUCAGUCCCAAAUGACACAGGUGUUGGGUUGAGAAACUAAGAACUUGUUUUACCUGGAGGGGAUUCAAAAUGGACACCAGCAAGUACCUGCCUGUUGGCAAGGAAUAGAGGAGAAGAUUAGAAGAGAGAAGC
Molecule: long non-coding RNA, 691 nt
Organism: Coregonus clupeaformis (lake whitefish)
Lineage: Eukaryota; Metazoa; Chordata; Actinopteri; Salmoniformes; Salmonidae
Exons: 4
Source: RefSeq, a predicted model, not a curated record